This 174-nucleotide ribosomal RNA is filed under the name Scinax exiguus. RNAcentral describes it as "partial 16S large subunit ribosomal RNA". The record is from RNAcentral. Lineage: Eukaryota; Metazoa; Chordata; Amphibia; Anura; Hylidae.
ACGUGAUCUGAGUUCAGACCGGAGUAAUCCAGGUCGGUUUCUAUCUAUACCAAAGCUUAUUCUAGUACGAAAGGACCGAAAAAGCGUGGUCCCUGCCUAAAACAUACCACCAUUAAAAAUUUUUGUCCACAACUUAAUCAAUUAUUAACCUACCACAAUUUUCAAGAUCAGAAU